ACGGGAGGCAGCAGUGGGGGAUAUUGCGCAAUGGGGGAAACCCUGACGCAGCAACGCCGCGUGAAGGAAGAAGGUCUUCGGAUUGUAAACUUCUUUUAUGAGGGACGAAGGAAGUGACGGUACCUCAUGAAUAAGCCACGGCUAACUACGUGCCAGCAGCCGCGGUAAUACGUAGGUGGCAAGCGUUAUCCGGAUUUACUGGGUGUAAAGGGCGCGUAGGCGGGGAUGCAAGUCAGAUGUGAAAUCUAUGGGCUUAACUCAUAAACUGCAUUUGAAACUGUGUCUCUUGAGUGCUGGAGAGGUAGAUGGAAUUCCUUGUGUAGCGGUGAAAUGCGUAGAUAUAAGGAAGAACACCAGUGGCGAAGGCGAUCUACUGGACAGUAACUGACGCUGAGGCGCGAGAGCGUGGGGAGCAAACAGGAUUAGAUACCCUGGUA
Molecule: ribosomal RNA, 437 nt
Filed under: uncultured Oscillospiraceae bacterium
Lineage: Bacteria; Bacillati; Bacillota; Clostridia; Eubacteriales; Oscillospiraceae
Description: bacterial SSU rRNA
Rfam family: Bacterial small subunit ribosomal RNA
Source: RNAcentral